This 172-nucleotide ribosomal RNA is filed under the name uncultured bacterium. RNAcentral describes it as "partial 16S ribosomal RNA". It matches the Rfam family "Bacterial small subunit ribosomal RNA", at positions 335 to 524 of the family's 1533-position model. RNAcentral also lists the same sequence under 1 other name. The record is from RNAcentral.
ACUCCUACGGGAGGCAGCAGUGGGGAAUAUUGGACAAUGGGCGAAAGCCUGAUCCAGCAAUGCCGCGUGAGUGAUGAAGGCCUUAGGGUUGUAAAGCUCUUUUACCCGGGAUGAUAAUGACAGUACCGGGAGAAUAAGCCCCGGCUAACUCCGUGCCAGCAGCCGCGGUAAU